UAUGGCUUUUUAUUCCUACGUGAUGGCAGAUGUGGUUCAUGUAGGAUUCUAAGCCACUA
RNAcentral lists this microRNA precursor (59 nucleotides) under Gadus morhua (Atlantic cod). Its description in RNAcentral is "microRNA gmo-mir-135d precursor". Its record names the gene gmo-mir-135d. Lineage: Eukaryota; Metazoa; Chordata; Actinopteri; Gadiformes; Gadidae. The record is from miRBase by way of RNAcentral.